RNAcentral lists this ribosomal RNA (627 nucleotides) under Bacillus subtilis. RNAcentral describes it as "bacterial SSU rRNA". It matches the Rfam family "Bacterial small subunit ribosomal RNA", at positions 64 to 674 of the family's 1533-position model. Lineage: Bacteria; Bacillati; Bacillota; Bacilli; Caryophanales; Bacillaceae. The record is from RNAcentral.
GAGCGGACAGAUGGGAGCUUGCUCCCUGAUGUUAGCGGCGGACGGGUGAGUAACACGUGGGUAACCUGCCUGUAAGACUGGGAUAACUCCGGGAAACCGGGGCUAAUACCGGAUGGUUGUUUGAACCGCAUGGUUCAAACAUAAAAGGUGGCUUCGGCUACCACUUACAGAUGGACCCGCGGCGCAUUAGCUAGUUGGUGAGGUAACGGCUCACCAAGGCAACGAUGCGUAGCCGACCUGAGAGGGUGAUCGGCCACACUGGGACUGAGACACGGCCCAGACUCCUACGGGAGGCAGCAGUAGGGAAUCUUCCGCAAUGGACGAAAGUCUGACGGAGCAACGCCGCGUGAGUGAUGAAGGUUUUCGGAUCGUAAAGCUCUGUUGUUAGGGAAGAACAAGUACCGUUCGAAUAGGGCGGUACCUUGACGGUACCUAACCAGAAAGCCACGGCUAACUACGUGCCAGCAGCCGCGGUAAUACGUAGGUGGCAAGCGUUGUCCGGAAUUAUUGGGCGUAAAGGGCUCGCAGGCGGUUUCUUAAGUCUGAUGUGAAAGCCCCCGGCUCAACCGGGGAGGGUCAUUGGAAACUGGGAACUUGAGUGCACAAGAGGAUAGUGGAAUCCCACGU